GACGAACGCUGGCGGCGUGCUUAACACAUGCAAGUCGAACGGUGAAGCGCCUUCCUUUUUGGUGGGUGUGGAUGAGUGGCGAACGGGUGAGUAACACGUGAGUAACCUGCCCCCUUCUUCUGGAUAACCGCAUGAAAGUGUGGCUAAUACGGGAUAUUCUGGGUCUGUCGCAUGAUGGGUCUGGGAAAGAUAUUGUUUCGGUGGGGGAUGGGCUCGCGGCCUAUCAGCUUGUUGGUGGGGUGAUGGCCUACCAAGGCGGUGACGGGUAGCCGGCCUGAGAGGGUGGGCGGCCACACUGGGACGGAGACACGGCCCAGACUCCUACGGGAGGCAGCAGUGGGGAAUAUUGCACAAAGGGCGCAAGCCUGAUGCAGCGACGCCGCGUGAGGGAUGGAGGCCUUCGGGUUGAGAACCUCUUUCGCCAGUGAAGCAGGCCUGCCUCGUUUGUGGGUGGGUUGACGGUAGCUGGAUAAGAAGCGCCGGCUAACUACGUG
Molecule: ribosomal RNA, 494 nt
Filed under: uncultured bacterium
Lineage: Bacteria
Description: partial 16S ribosomal RNA
Rfam family: Bacterial small subunit ribosomal RNA
Source: RNAcentral